RNAcentral lists this transfer RNA (73 nucleotides) under Planctomycetales bacterium. Its description in RNAcentral is "tRNA-Ala". It matches the Rfam family "tRNA". From Rfam's summary of the family: Transfer RNA (tRNA) molecules are approximately 80 nucleotides in length. The record is from RNAcentral. Lineage: Bacteria; Pseudomonadati; Planctomycetota; Planctomycetia; Planctomycetales.
GGGGGAUUAGCUCAGUUGGGAGAGCGCUUGAAUGGCAUUCAUGAGGUCAGGGGUUCAAGUCCCCUAUCCUCCA